RNAcentral lists this unclassified non-coding RNA (407 nucleotides) under Hevea brasiliensis (rubber tree). Lineage: Eukaryota; Viridiplantae; Streptophyta; Magnoliopsida; Malpighiales; Euphorbiaceae. The record is from RNAcentral.
GAAGGUAAUAUCUGAUCUCAAUUUGUUGCAAGAAACACACAAACAGUAGUUAGAUGCGGCAAGGAGUGUCUUUCUGGCUUUAUUUGUAGGACUUUAUGGUGUUCUAUACUUCCAUUGGAAAAAUAGCACAUUCUGGGAUUUACCAUGCUUGUCCCUCUUGCCAACUUACCUAAAAGGCAGAAAGUCAGACACAAGAGUAGGAAGUCACUUACGUUUCACUCAAGAUGAUUUGUCCAUGCUGUUGAAUUUUCUACUCACUGCUUCACACCUGCGGUGUUCAAUUCAUACGCUAGGAUCCAGGGUUUUUGAACUUUAGACCAAAUGUUGCAAUCUCAAAUUUGGGAAUUCAAAAUGGAAUGGAAAUAAAUAAUUUCUGAGUUUACGAGUUCAAAAAGAAUGAACAACAG